GAUGAAGAACGUAGCGAAAUGCGAUAAGUAAUGUGAAUUGCAGAAUUCAGUGAAUCAUCGAAUCUUUGAACGCACAUUGCGCCCGCCAGUAUUCUGGCGGGCAUGCCUGUCUGAGCGUCAUUUCAACCCUCAUGCCCCUAGGGCGUGGUGUUGGGGAUCGGCCAAAGCCCGCGAGGGACGGCCGGCCCCUAAAUCUAGUGGCGGACCCGUCGUGGCCUCCUCUGCGAAGUAGUGAUAUUCCGCAUCGGAGAGCGACGAGCCCCUGCCGUUAAACCCCCAACUUUCCAAGGUUGACCUCAGAUUAGGUAGGAAUACCCGCUGAACUUAAGCAUAUCAAUAAGCGGAGGA
This 348-nucleotide unclassified non-coding RNA is filed under the name soil metagenome. Its description in RNAcentral is "partial contains 5.8S ribosomal RNA, internal transcribed spacer 2, and large subunit ribosomal RNA". The stretch from base 1 to 120 matches the Rfam family "5.8S ribosomal RNA", at positions 35 to 154 of the family's 154-position model. The record is from RNAcentral.